GCCAAUGCAUGCUUUUACAGUAUGGAAAUUGGUGAUUUAUAAUAACUUGGCAAAUCGCAAAGUGAAAACAGGCGAUAAAUCAUUCAAGUUUCUGACCUAUCAGCUUUCGACGGUAUGGUAUUGGCUUACCGUGGCAGUGACGGUUAACGGGGGAUUAGGGUUCGAUUCCGGAGAGGGAGCCUGAGAAACGGCUACCACAUCUAAGGAAGGCAGCAGGCGCGCAAAUUACCCAAUUCUAACAGUUUGAGAGAGGUAGUAACAAGAAAUAACAAUACAAGGCAAUUAAAAUGCUUUGUAAUUGGAAUGAUAGAAAUUUAAACCCUUUUUAAAGUAUCAAUUGGAGGGCAAGUCUGGUGCCAGCAGCCGCGGUAAUUCCAGCUCCAAUAGCGUAUAUUAAAAUUGUUGCAGUUAAAAAGCUCGUAGUUGAAGUUCUGCUAAAAGUAACCGGUCUGCUUUUAAUAAAAGUGGUAUCUUGGUGUGUAUUUAGCAAUGAUGUCCUUUGAAGUGUUUUUUACUUUAUUGUAAUAAAGCAUAUUCAGGACUUUUACUUUGAGAAAAUUAGAGUGUUUCUAGCAGGCCGACGCUUUGAAUACUGCAGCAUGGAAAUAAAUAAGA
RNAcentral lists this ribosomal RNA (615 nucleotides) under Hepatozoon canis. RNAcentral's name for it is "bacterial SSU rRNA". It matches the Rfam family "Eukaryotic small subunit ribosomal RNA", at positions 221 to 824 of the family's 1831-position model. The record is from RNAcentral. Lineage: Eukaryota; Apicomplexa; Hepatozoidae.